This 302-nucleotide non-coding RNA is filed under the name Ipomoea nil (Japanese morning glory). RNAcentral's name for it is "Bacterial large subunit ribosomal RNA". It matches the Rfam family "Bacterial large subunit ribosomal RNA", at positions 1708 to 2021 of the family's 2925-position model. The record is from Rfam by way of RNAcentral. Lineage: Eukaryota; Viridiplantae; Streptophyta; Magnoliopsida; Solanales; Convolvulaceae.
AGAAAUUCGGCAAAAUAACAUUGUAACUUCAGGAGUAGGGGUGCCUCCUCACAAAGGGAUUAAUGCAAUGACUAAGCUCGGACAACUAUUCACCAAAAACACAGGUCUCCGAAAAAUCAUAAUAUCAUAUAUUGGGGACUGACGCCUUCUUAGUCGUGGCAUGUUGACAGGAGAGCGGGCCACCAAAGUCUCAGUGAUCGAACAACGGCCUUAACUAUAAUGGUCUUAAAGUAGCUAAAAUUCCUUGCCCAGUAAGUUCCCACCCGCAUAAAAAGCCUACGUGAUUAUCAAGUCAAUCGUCU